AUUGAACGCUGGCGGCAGGCCUAACACAUGCAAGUCGAGCGCGAAAGUUCUUCGGAAUGAGUAAAGCGGCGGACGGGUGAGUAAUACAUGGGAAUCUGCCUGGUAGUGGGGGACAACGUUUCGAAAGGAACGCUAAUACCGCAUACGCCCUACGGGGAAAGGGGGGAGUCUUCGGACCUUUCGCUAUCAGAUGAGCCCAU
Molecule: ribosomal RNA, 200 nt
Filed under: uncultured bacterium
Lineage: Bacteria
Description: partial 16S ribosomal RNA
Rfam family: Bacterial small subunit ribosomal RNA
Source: RNAcentral